UGAAGAGGAACUGAACCAACG
Molecule: unclassified non-coding RNA, 21 nt
Filed under: Mus musculus (house mouse)
Lineage: Eukaryota; Metazoa; Chordata; Mammalia; Rodentia; Muridae
Description: oocyte_clustered_small_RNA8361
Source: RNAcentral